Molecule: ribosomal RNA, 253 nt
Filed under: uncultured bacterium
Lineage: Bacteria
Description: partial 16S ribosomal RNA
Rfam family: Bacterial small subunit ribosomal RNA
Source: RNAcentral
UACAGAGGGGGCAAGCGUUGUUCGGAAUUACUGGGCGUAAAGGGCUCGUAGGUGGCCAACUAAGUCAGACGUGAAAUCCCUCGGCUUAACCGGGGAACUGCGUCUGAUACUGGAUGGCUUGAGUUCGGGAGAGGGAUGCGGAAUUCCAGGUGUAGCGGUGAAAUGCGUAGAUAUCUGGAGGAACACCGGUGGCGAAGGCGGCAUCCUGGACCGACACUGACACUGAGGAGCGAAAGCCAGGGGAGCAAACAGG